AUCCGGUGAUGCUGCCCGAGAUCACUGCUAUAGGAAUCGACUAAGACCAUGCGAGUCGAGAGAGUCUGCGCUCGGCAGACGGCUCAGUAACACGUGGAUAAUAUGUCCUUAGGUGGAGGAUAACAUCGGGAAACUGAGAAUAAUACUCCCUAGAUCUAGGAUGCUGGAAUGCACAUAGAUUGAAAGCUCCGGCGCGUAAGGAUGAGUGUGCGGACUAUCAGGUAGUAGUCAGGGUAAAGGCCUGACUAGCCUACGACGGAUACGGGUUGUGAGAGCAAUAACCCGGAGACGAUAUCUGAGACACGAUAUCGGGCCCACGGGGCGCAGCAGGCGCGAAACCUUCACAAUGUGCGAAAGCACGAUGAGGGAAUCCCAAGUGCUUGCUCGUAAGAGUAAGCUGUUUUUAUGUCUAAAAAGCAUAGAGAGUAAGGGCUGGGUAAGACGGGUGCCAGCCGCCGCGGUAAUACCUGCAGCUCAAGUAGUGACCGUUAUUAUUGGGCCUAAAACGUUCGUAGCCGGUUUGGUAAAUCCCUGGGUAAAUCGUGUAGCUUAACUAUACGAAUUCCGGGUAGACUGCCAAACUUGAAACCGGGAGAAGUUAGAGGUACUCCUGGGGUAGAGGUGAAAUUCUGUAAUCCUGGGGGGACCACCAGUGGCGAAGGCGUCUAGCUAGAACGGGUUUGACGGUGAGGAACGAAGCCCUGGGGCGCAAACCGGAUUAGAUACCCGGGUAGUCCAGGGUGUAAACGCUGCUUGCUUGAUGUUAGUUGGGCUCCGAGCCCAAUUAGUGUCGGAGAGAAGUUGUUAAGCCAGCUGCCUGGGAAGUACGAUCGCAAGAUUGAAACUUAAAGGAAUUGGCGGGGGAGCACAGCAACGGGUGGAGCGUGCGGUUUAAUUGGAUUCAACGCCGGA
Molecule: ribosomal RNA, 912 nt
Filed under: uncultured archaeon
Lineage: Archaea
Description: bacterial SSU rRNA
Rfam family: Archaeal small subunit ribosomal RNA
Source: RNAcentral